RNAcentral lists this ribosomal RNA (655 nucleotides) under uncultured rumen bacterium. RNAcentral's name for it is "bacterial SSU rRNA". It matches the Rfam family "Bacterial small subunit ribosomal RNA", at positions 63 to 719 of the family's 1533-position model. The record is from RNAcentral.
CUCCCGAGACUGAAGAAGCUUGCUUCUGAGGAAUCAUUUGGAAUACUUAGUGGCGGACGGGUGAGUAACGCGUGGGUAACCUGCCUCACACAGGGGGAUAACAGUUGGAAACGACUGUUAAUACCGCAUAAGCGCACAGUAUCGCAUGGUACAGUGUGAAAAGCUCCGGCGGUGUGAGAUGGACCCGCGUCUGAUUAGCUAGUUGGCGGGGUAACGGCCCACCAAGGCUUCGAUCAGUAGCCGGCCUGAGAGGGUGUACGGCCACAUUGGGACUGAGACACGGCCCAAACUCCUACGGGAGGCAGCAGUGGGGAAUAUUGCACAAUGGGGGAAACCCUGAUGCAGCGACGCCGCGUGAGUGAGGAAGUAUUUCGGUAUGUAAAGCUCUAUCAGCAGGGAAGAUAAUGACGGUACCUGACUAAGAAGCACCGGCUAAAUACGUGCCAGCAGCCGCGGUAAUACGUAUGGUGCAAGCGUUAUCCGGAUUUACUGGGUGUAAAGGGUGCGUAGGUGGCAUAUCAAGUCAGAUGUGAAAACUCUGGGCUCAACCCAGAGACUGCAUUUGAAACUGAUAAGCUGGAGUACAGGAGAGGAAAGCAGAAUUCCUAGUGUAGCGGUGAAAUGCGUAGAUAUUAGGAAGAACACCGGUGGCGAA